UACGGGGGGGGCAAGCGUUGUUCGGAUUUACUGGGCGUAAAGGGCGCGUAGGCGGUCAGCACAAGUCAGUUGUGAAAUCUCCGGGCUUAACUCGGAAAGGUCAACUGAUACUGUGCGACUAGAGUGCAGAAGGGGCAACUGGAAUUCUCGGUGUAGCGGUGAAAUGCGUAGAUAUCGAGAGGAACACCUGCGGCGAAGGCGGGUUGCUGGGCUGACACUGACGCUGAGGCGCGAAAGCUAGGGGAGCAAACGGG
This 254-nucleotide ribosomal RNA is filed under the name uncultured bacterium. RNAcentral's name for it is "partial 16S ribosomal RNA". It matches the Rfam family "Bacterial small subunit ribosomal RNA", at positions 524 to 776 of the family's 1533-position model. The record is from RNAcentral.